CCUACGGGAGGCAGCAGUGGGGAAUAUUGGGCAAUGGGCGCAAGCCUGACCCAGCAAUGCCGCGUGAAGGAAGAAGGCUUUCGGGUUGUAAACUUCUUUGACAGGGGAAGAGCAGAAGACGGUACCCUGAAAACAAGCCACGGCUAACUACGUGCCAGCAGCCGCGGUAAUACGUAGGUGGCAAGCGUUGUCCGGAUUUACUGGGUGUAAAGGGCGUGUAGCCGGGAAGGCAAGUCAGAUGUGAAAUCUGGAGGCUCAACCUCCAAAUUGCAUUUGAAACUGUUUUUCUUGAGUACUGGAGAGGCAGACGGAAUUGCUUGGGUAGCGGUGAAAUGGGUAGAUAUAAGGAGGAACACCAGUGGCGAAGGCGGUCUGCUGGACAGCAACUGACGGUGAGGCGCGAAAGCGUGGGGAGCAAACAGGAUUAGAUACCCCAGUAGUC
This 442-nucleotide ribosomal RNA is filed under the name uncultured bacterium. Its description in RNAcentral is "partial 16S ribosomal RNA". It matches the Rfam family "Bacterial small subunit ribosomal RNA", at positions 338 to 795 of the family's 1533-position model. The record is from RNAcentral.